CCUACGGGGGGCAGCAGUAGGGAAUAUUGCUCAAUGGGGGAAACCCUGAAGCAGCAACGCCGCGUGGAGGAUGAAGGUUUUCGGAUUGUAAACUCCUUUUGUUAGAGAAGAUAAUGACGGUAUCUAACGAAUAAGCACCGGCUAACUCCGUGCCAGCAGCCGCGGUAAUACGGAGGGUGCAAGCGUUAUUCGGAAUGACUGGGCGUAAAGAGCGCGUAGGCGGGAAAGCAAGUCAGAUGUGAAAUCCCACGGCUUAACCCUGGAACUGCAUUUGAAACUGUUAUUCUAGAGUAUCGGAGAGGUAGGUGGAAUUCUUGGUGUAGGGGUGAAAUGCGUAGAGAUAAGGAGGAAUA
Molecule: ribosomal RNA, 353 nt
Filed under: uncultured bacterium
Lineage: Bacteria
Description: partial 16S ribosomal RNA
Rfam family: Bacterial small subunit ribosomal RNA
Source: RNAcentral